This 143-nucleotide ribosomal RNA is filed under the name Pseudomonas aeruginosa. RNAcentral's name for it is "partial 16S ribosomal RNA". The stretch from base 41 to 143 matches the Rfam family "Bacterial small subunit ribosomal RNA", at positions 1 to 102 of the family's 1533-position model. Lineage: Bacteria; Pseudomonadati; Pseudomonadota; Gammaproteobacteria; Pseudomonadales; Pseudomonadaceae. The record is from RNAcentral.
UGAGCCAAGUUUAGGGUUUUCUCAAAACCCAAGCAGUAUUGAACUGAAGAGUUUGAUCAUGGCUCAGAUUGAACGCUGGCGGCAGGCCUAACACAUGCAAGUCGAGCGGAUGAAGGGAGCUUGCUCCUGGAUUCAGCGGCGGA